RNAcentral lists this ribosomal RNA (1368 nucleotides) under uncultured bacterium. Its description in RNAcentral is "16S ribosomal RNA". It matches the Rfam family "Bacterial small subunit ribosomal RNA". The record is from RNAcentral.
AGAGUUUGCUCCUGGCUCAGGACGAACGCUGGCGGCGCGCCUAACACAUGCAAGUCGAACGAGCGAGAGAGAGCUUGCUUUCUCGAGCGAGUGGCGAACGGGUGAGUAACGCGUGAGGAACCUGCCUCAAAGAGGGGGACAACAGUUGGAAACGACUGCUAAUACCGCAUAAGCCCACGACCCGGCAUCGGGUUGAGGGAAAAGGAGCAAUCCGCUUUGAGAUGGCCUCGCGUCCGAUUAGCUAGUUGGUGAGGUAAUGGCCCACCAAGGCGACGAUCGGUAGCCGGACUGAGAGGUUGAACGGCCACAUUGGGACUGAGACACGGCCCAGACUCCUACGGGAGGCAGCAGUGGGGAAUAUUGCACAAUGGGGGAAACCCUGAUGCAGCGACGCCGCGUGGAGGAAGAAGGUCUUCGGAUUGUAAACUCCUGUUGUUGAGGAAGAUAAUGACGGUACUCAACAAGGAAGUGACGGCUAACUACGUGCCAGCAGCCGCGGUAAAACGUAGGUCACAAGCGUUGUCCGGAAUUACUGGGUGUAAAGGGAGCGCAGGCGGGAAGACAAGUUGGAAGUGAAAUCUAUGGGCUCAACCCAUAAACUGCUUUCAAAACUGUUUUUCUUGAGUAGUGCAGAGUAGGCGGAAUUCCCGGUGUAGCGGUGGAAUGCGUAGAUAUCGGGAAGAACACCAGUGGCGAAGGCGGCCUACUGGGCACCAACUGACGCUGAGGCUCGAAAGUGUGGGUAGCAAACAGGAUUAGAUACCCUGGUAGUCCACACCGUAAACGAUGAUUACUAGGUGUUGGAGGAUUGACCCCUUCAGUGCCGCAGUUAACACAAUAAGUAAUCCACCUGGGGAGUACGACCGCAAGGUUGAAACUCAAAGGAAUUGACGGGGGCCCGCACAAGCAGUGGAGUAUGUGGUUUAAUUCGACGCAACGCGAAGAACCUUACCAAGUCUUGACAUCCCUUGACGAACAUAGAAAUAUGUUUUCUCUUCGGAGCAAGGAGACAGGUGGUGCAUGGUUGUCGUCAGCUCGUGUCGUGAGAUGUUGGGUUAAGUCCCGCAACGAGCGCAACCCUUACUGUCAGUUACUACGCAAGAGGACUCUGGCAGGACUGCCGUUGACAAAACGGAGGAAGGUGGGGAUGACGUCAAAUCAUCAUGCCCUUUAUGACUUGGGCUACACACGUACUACAAUGGCGUUAAACAAAGAGAAGCAAGACCGCGAGGUGGAGCAAAACUCAGAAACAACGUCCCAGUUCGGACUGCAGGCUGCAACUCGCCUGCACGAAGUCGGAAUUGCUAGUAAUCGUGGAUCAGCAUGCCACGGUGAAUACGUUCCCGGGCCUGUACACACCGCCCGUCA